UAUGUUUCAUGUUUUGUGUGGAUCCCAGGAAGAGUAGCUGCUGCUUUUGCAACAACUAAUGGGGAUCCUAAUAACAUACCAAAUACCAAAUCUCCAUAUACUGCAGUCGGUUGAUCACAUACCAUAACCAUGAACUCCUGUUGGAUUACGGAAUGCUUCAUGGUCUUUGUAUAUCAUAAGAAUGUCCAAGACAAUUUAUGUAAACUGAUAUUUUUCUAUGGAUAUAUACAUAAACAAUAUAUAUUUCUCUAAAAGUAUAUAACGUGUACAUGUAUAUUUGUAUGUAUAUGUGUAUAAAAUACAUCUAAUUAAGAUUAAUAUGACUAUGGAUUUGACUWUGGACAGUCAAUUCUGCUUUUGUUUUUAUUUAACCAGCAGGGGGCACUUAUCUUACCCUGUCAAAUACCCUAGUUGGAGACUAAAGGAACCAACUGUCUAUUGAUUUACACAUAACGGUCUGUCUUCUUAUUAAUGCUGUCAUAGGUCAGCUGUGCUUUGCAGGUCAGGACUGGGCAUCAUCAGGAGACAGUUGGGACAGUGCCGGGCUGGCCUUCACUGGUUCUGCUGUAAUGGGGCCCAGGCUAGUGUUCGCCCAUAUCUGUGUGCUGAGCCAGUGGGAGGAAAUGCAGCCUUAGUCUAAUGGAAAUUGUGAUGACAUUCACAUAUGACAAUUAUAUCUCAGAUUGUGUUCAUUUGACACUGAUGGUAGGGAAGUGAUGCUAUCCUAUCUUUUAUGGUUCUGACACUGCUGUCUGGGUAUAUGUGAUUGUGUGUAAUAAGACUGGCCAAAAUCAACAUUUUGUAAACCGCAAUUCUUAUYACAAAAGUGUUUUCUGUCUUACCUGUGGUUAGUGCAUUGUUAUUUGUGUCGAACAUAGUGGCUGUAGUGUUUGAGGCAUCGGGGUAGUAGUGUUUGAGGCAUUGUGUCUUAGUGCCUGGGUGAGAGUGUAACUGUGUUCCAGGUGCCAGUUGUAGGUUAUAGGGUGUUGUGGUCUACCGUUGCCAAGCAGGAAGCUGUUGUCUCUUUGUCUUCCUCACAUGGCUCCUCUGCAUUCUGCAGAGCAGUAGGGAUUUUAGGUUUUCAACAGAAUCAUUGGGACAUAACUUAUCUGUGAUCAUGAUCAUGUUUUACUACAUUGUAAAAUCAUACUACAUACUAAAACCACUACUCUUAAAUUAUUUUUUGCAAUUUACUGUAGGCCCAUAUGUAAUUCUUCUUACCCUUGGUAUUAAACAUAUGGUAUUAAACAUUUGGACAUUGUUGUUUCAAAAGUGAUAGUACUUGCCAAAGCAGCAUGUUGAAGUUGAUCUGUUGCCUCACCCAUAACUCAACCCGGUCUCAAGUUACUGAGGUACUAAAUYGGGACAGAUACAGCUCUGAUGUUAAUGGAAGAUAAUAAUACACACCUCCUCCUCAUAGACAUAGAGACAGACAGACCCCAUGAGAAGGUGACAUUUUGAAGACUUUUUGAAAACCGACAAGGAAAGGGAUGAGAACACAGGGGAGUUUGUAUGCAAGAAAGACGGAGGGGAAGAUCGCAAAAUCUAUGUGAAAUGUCGGACCUGUGAUAAAUGCAUUAAGCUGGAUACAGCUACGGCUGUAGGGAUGGUUGUGGGAGUCCUGGUGGCCACUGCCUGAUUGGAGUAGCUGUUUACUGCAUCGCCUCACAGCCCAAAGCAACACUAACCGCCGGCAAGAAAACACCUAGCAAAAUGGGUCUCAUCCACAAUGAGGCCAGUGUCAACAAAAUAACUUGUCCACAAUGAGAUCUGAAACAGCACUCUGCCGGAAAGCAGAUGAAGAGAAUAAUAAAAUGUGCUCAGUGCUACGUUACUUUUACCCCCCUCAGAAUAAUAGUUGUUAACAUGAG
Molecule: non-coding RNA, 1871 nt
Organism: Salvelinus sp. IW2-2015
Lineage: Eukaryota; Metazoa; Chordata; Actinopteri; Salmoniformes; Salmonidae
Source: RefSeq, a predicted model, not a curated record